UACGUAGGUGGCAAGCGUUGUCCGGAAUUAUUGGGCGUAAAGCGCGCGCAGGCGGCCUUUUAAGUCUGAUGUGAAAGCCCACGGCUCAACCGUGGAGGGUCAUUGGAAACUGGAAGGCUUGAGUGCAGAAGAGAAGAGCGGAAUUCCACGUGUAGCGGUGAAAUGCGUAGAGAUGUGGAGGAACACCAGUGGCGAAGGCGGCUCUUUGGUCUGUAACUGACGCUGAGGCGCGAAAGCGUGGGGAGCGAACAGG
Molecule: ribosomal RNA, 253 nt
Filed under: uncultured bacterium
Lineage: Bacteria
Description: partial 16S ribosomal RNA
Rfam family: Bacterial small subunit ribosomal RNA
Source: RNAcentral